This 199-nucleotide long non-coding RNA is filed under the name Lathyrus oleraceus (garden pea). Its description in RNAcentral is "Pisum sativum (pea) long non-coding RNA (PSAT_LNC039368)". The record is from RNAcentral. Lineage: Eukaryota; Viridiplantae; Streptophyta; Magnoliopsida; Fabales; Fabaceae.
CCUUUUUUUCCUGGACUCUUUUAUUCUCUUUUUUUUUGUCCAGCGGGUCAAUUUAUGCGAAGUAUUUUUUGACUACAUCUGAGUUAACAGGGGACGGAAAAUCUUCACCAUCCAUAGUUGUAAGCAUCAAGGCUCUACCGGAGAAAACCUUCUUCACAACAUAUGGACCUUCAUAAUUAGGAGUCCACUUGCCUCUGUU